RNAcentral lists this long non-coding RNA (1127 nucleotides) under Gouania willdenowi (blunt-snouted clingfish). RNAcentral's name for it is "lncRNA (ENSGWIG00000013935.1)". The record is from RNAcentral. Lineage: Eukaryota; Metazoa; Chordata; Actinopteri; Blenniiformes; Gobiesocidae.
AUUGUGGCGUCUGAACACACAGAGGAUUGGUGGUUUUAACAGUCAGCUCCUACCACUGAUAAACCAAGCCUUCAGACUCAGUACAGAAUUAAGGUAAAAACCAUUUUCCCCUCAUUAUUAAGCAGGCCUGGGAAAAAUACAAACAAGAUGUACAAUAGAAUGGUCGUGCAUGUGGAUCGUGCCAUACCGAUAAAUAACUUAAGAAUCUCAACUGUGUUGACCAUUGGACCUCAGGAGUGCAAUCCUCAGGGGAUCAUGCAGUUCAAUUCUCAGGGGACCAAACAACAGUUGUGCAAACCUCAGGGAAUGACACAACAGUUGUGCAUGUGCAAACCUCAAGAGACCAUACAGGAGUUCAAUUCUCAGGGGACCAAACAAGAGUUUUGCCAACCUCAGAGGACCAAACAACAGUUGUGCAAACCUCAGGGAAUGACACAACAGUUGUGCAUGUGCAAACCUCAAGAGACCAUACAGGAGUUCAAUUCUCAGGGGACCAAACAAGAGUUUUGCCAACCUCAGAGGACCAAACAACAGUUGUGCAAACCUCAGGGAAUGACACAACAGUUGUGCAUGUGCAAACCUCAAGAGACCAUACAGGAGUUCAAUUCUCAGGGGACCAAACAACAGUUGUGCAAACCUCAGGGAAUUAAACAACAGGAGUUCAAUCUUCAGGGAACUACCUAUUACAAGGUGAUGGAGAAGGCCCACCUAACACCCCGUGAAAAAUACAUUGAGCCUAUCACAACGAACAUGGAAUAUGGAUGGUAUGUCACCAGGCAGAUUUAAUAUUUUUGUUGCGAUCGCCACGCCUGGAAGCGGUAACAAAAACAAACUUCAUCUUUAAAGUGAUUGACCAAUGUCUGUCGCGAUACUUAAGUUCACCAGCGAUCGGAAGGCGGGUUACUGAAGCAGCUAGAUACAGCUGUUGGACAAUGACCCAAUGGGAUAAACAGUUAUCUUUGAGCUUGAACUUUUUCAAAAACCCUCAUCAGACUCAAGAAAAUUUGGACCAGGCUGUGCUUAAAGAGGCCGUGAAUAUGCAUAAGCAGGCCCCAAAACAAUAUUUGUUUUUCUUUUCUUAGAACACAGCAGAGGCCUCAGUCCAAAAGAAAUUCGGAAGGCGGACC